AAGAGUUUUUGUGAUUUAUUUGUUGCGUGAGUAAGGAUUUUUUAUGGUUUAACCAACAAUAUUUUGAAUGACGCCUGUUUCUGUUGUGAGCGACUUCUUGUAAUACGUUCGAAUAGUAAUAUUGUAAGGUUGCUAGUAUAAAAAUCGGUUUAGUUGGAACACGUUUUAUCUUCCGCAGCUAAAUAUCAGAUAUAACUAUUUUAAAAGAAUGAAGCCUUCUUGCAGUUUUCCAGUAUUUUGAAAUAAUACUUCAUAUAAAUAAUUGUGAUACCUGAUUGUAGGCCAACAUGCUGCGUGAAUGGUGUAUCUUAAUAAACCUGCAGCACAGACUGUCGCAGUGUAGGGAGAAAAGUUGUAAGAUACUCAGAUUGAAGCUUUUGUGUCGUUGAGGCUACCUACGAAAUUUCUGCUCCGAGCUAAUGCAUUAGGAAUGCUAAAAUCGCGUAUGUUAUAGUAUUGGCAAGGGAAUAAAUUCAACAAUAGUUUAAUAAAUUGAAGCACCCUCCCCGCCCCCCUCAAAUACGUGGUAAGACGGAUCUGUUGCAUAUCUCGUGGUGUUUGUUACAUAAUUUGCAAUGAAAUACUCGUCGGCGACAUCUCUGUUAGCUAAGUGUGUUAGAAAAUUUACCGAACUAGUUUGCUUAAUGUCGCUAAAUGGGCUAGCAAGUGAACACCAAGCUGCUAGCUAUUCUAUAGGUCAGUUUGUUACUGCAACAUUUAUUUGAUGUUUACAUUCCUUGCUUCGCCAACUUAAUCUAAGUAAUGGCUUCGCCAGCUUUAACUAAGUAAUGCUUCUCUUCUUCCUUCUUUUUAAUUAAACACAUUCUUAGUGCUCAGUGUUUCAUACUUUUUUUUCCAGGAGUCUUAUUUAACAAAGACGGACAGCUUUGGUAAAUGGAUGCAAAAGUUUUGGACAUGUUUUAAAUAGUUCCCACUACGUUGUGUCAGUCAAUAGCAGACGUACGUCCUUCAAUGUUGGGAUGUUAGUUCAGUAGUUUGGGUGGUACAAGGUGCCAACAGGCAGACUGCAAGAGCGCUACCUUGGAAUCUAGGGCAUAGACUUCUUACUCAUUCCAUGAUUUUGAAACAUUUGUUACCUAAAUAAUUCGUUAAAGUGGUGGGUUUAGCAUUGCCAAGUACAAUGGGAAAUACAGUGGAUUUAGCACUCAUUGUGCACAUUAAUUUGGGUGUCUUGCUGCUCAGCCGUGCGUGAUUAGCCGAGCGGUCUAAGACGCUGCAGUCAUGGUCGGUGCGGCUGGUCCUGGUGGACGUUUGAGUCCUCCCUCGGGCGUGGGUGUGAGUGUUUGUCCUUAGGAUGAUUCAGGUUAAGUAAUGUGUAAGCUUAGGGACUGAUGACCUUAGCAGUUAAGUCCCAUAAGAUUUCACACACAUUUGAUUUUUUGUUCUUAUGGGAAAUUCUGCUGCUGCUUUAGUGCUGUGGUAGUUUUGGUGUUCCACUGAAUCAAGGAGGGUGUAAACCUUCACAGAAUGUGGUAGAAAUAGGUUCAAAUCUCUAUUUUGUUCUCUCAUACAGCUGCUGCACAACAUACUCAUGGUAGUUUGUCUUUGGUCCAAGGAAGAAGAAUGCCUGUGGUGGAUUGCUGGAGCUACAUACAAUUUUAUAUUGGUGAGAAAUUGUAAAUCUUUAAGAAAGGGAUGUAAUAUUUAGGUCUGUUCAUCUAGGGUUCAUCAGUGGACACAAGUGAAACAGUUGAAGAGAAAAUCUGUUCCCUGCGGUAGAAAGGAGAGCAAAUGGAAAGUUACAAGGUGAAAAAGAUAUGUAGAAGCUGGCACCUUCUCGAUCCCUGUGACAUGAAACUAUAUGCAACAUAAUCUGAGCUAUAAAUUUAUCUGUGAAGUUGGUAUGGCUGCAUAACAUGUUAAGCUGGGAAGCCAAAGAUGAUAUUGUUUUAGUCAUAGUGUAUUAGUUCUGCGGGCCAAUUUAAAAGUAACCUUAUAAGUUGUGUUGUAUAUCAAACAAAAAUUUUUGGGAGUAAAAUUUGCCUUAAAUUCUAAUAAAGGAUCCGCACUUCGGAGCAGAUUUCACAAAGAAACUAAUGGAAAACAAGAGCAAGGUUUCUGUGAAAAUUAGGAAUUCAUCCUGUCUCUGCUUUGAAAGACUUGAGAGACAAGACUUGUAGCUUAACUGUUCAAUGAAAAAUGUUACUGUAGCUAAGAAUCUCAAACUUGAUCAUCUUCAUCACAAAUUUUGACACACACAUGACUUAUGGGGCUGCUAAAGGUCACUACUACAUACCGAAAGCUAAGAAUUUGUGAAAUUACCGCUAACAUACAUAGGAUUCUACAUAUGAAAUUUGAACAGAAUCAGUGAUGAUUGAUUGGGUGGGGAUUGCAUGGUAUCGCGUAGUGUGUGUGUGUGUGUCUCCUAUUUGAAAGAGACAUAUUUUUCAACAGUCGUAUAUAUCAACCUCCAUAAAGUGCUUGCAGCCAAUGAAAAUUAAUCUCUUGAUUUGAGUAACAGAUGACCAUUCAUGAUGCGCUUUCCUCAAGAUUGCAUCAUUGCUUAUACAAUGGCAAUAGACUAUUGAAGAUGAACCAGAUGUCCUAUCAUUGGCAACAUAUUGAAACAGUUGGAAAUGUCAAAAAUGUUGCUAACUCUGUAUGAUCUUCCUUCAGACUUGAUGCAUGUUGCAGCUGUCAUCACUUGAAUUGUUUGUAUGAAGUUUGAAGAAAUACCAACACAUUCCUAUUAGAGGUAGCCUUUUCUUUCAGUCUUUCUCAGGGUAAACAUCCAAUUUGAUGGAGAAAAAGACACAUUUCAGACUGUACUUUUCACUUUUACUAGUCAACUUAACAGUGAACCAUCUAAUGAUGUGGCUUUAAUGUAGGCAUAUUCACAAACUAUGUAAGUUGAGUAGUGUCAUGAUGUGCAACACUCGGAGCAUGCAUUUUAGCUCUCUGUUGUAACUCUUGUGUUCAAUGAAAAUUGUGUGCAUUUUUGAGGUUCACUUGCUUAUAACAAACCCUGCCCAACUGAAAUCUUGGGACUGGUGAAAGCCGAUAUUUAGUGCAGCCUAGGUCUAGGUUCAAUUGAAAGGUGAUGAUUUGGUUGAGAGCCAGCAAAGCUAAUGAAUAUGAAAGACAAAUAAUGGCAAGGGGAGAUUCAACAUUUAACUUUUUCCCCUGUGUAUGCAAUAAAUAUGUUUAAUGUGAAUGAUAACAAAAGCAAAGACACUAUCUUACUUUGGAUGUAGAGUUGUAGACAGGAACGCUGUAGAAGUAACUGCAGGCAUGCCCCAGAUAGGUGGAUUGAUACACUUCUUAUUCAUAUUCUAUAUUACUGUAUCCUGGCAGACAGUGUUGAUUGUAAUCUCAGGCUUUUUACAGGUGAUCGUGUUGGUUUUAGUGAAGUGCAGCGUGAAAAAAGAUGUGAUAAGAUUACAAAAUUGUUCUAAGAUUGGCAAAUAGUUUCAAAUGUUCAUAAUCGUGAAAUUGUUCAAUUCAUAAAAUGCAAACAAGAAAUAUCCUUCGAUUACAUCAAGAUACAAAUUUGGAAUAUCCACUUAGGCUCAGUUGUAAGUGAGCCAGUUCAGUUCAUUGGUGGGACACAGUGCAGAUGGGCUGCAAAGGAGACUAUUUACAAAUCACUUGUGCAUCCCACUAUAGAAUAUUGUUAAAGUGUGUGGGAAGCAUACUGAGCAGGAAUAACAGGAGACGUUGAAUGUGUAAAUGUAUAAAAAGCAAGGUGGUACAGAUGGUCACAGGUUUGUUUCACUCGGGAGGCUGUCUGAGAAAUGUUGACCUGAAGUGUGCGAUCAUAAAUCAGUGCAUGAGAUGUCAAGACAACUGAACUUUCCAUGUGCCACCAUUCAGAAACUACUUUGAACAAUUGUGAAAUGGUAUCUACACAAAACAAACUUCACAUUACCCACCAACUUCUGCUACACGACACUGACAUUAGAGUAAAAGUUGAUUUUAUGUUUCUUGCAGGGAUUGAAGAUGACAAUGGAAUGUUUUGUGGAGUGAUGCGCACUUUAUGCUCUCUGAACAAUCAUAGUUAUCGCGUUUGGGGAUCGUCGCUUCCAACGAACAUUCAUGAAAUUUACCUCCAUAGUGCAUGUGUCACUGUGUGCUGUGGCUUCACACAACAGUUUUUUGAAGAACUUGGACCCCAAGGAACAAGCAGCAUGAACAGCACACAUUAUUGUGAUAUGCCUCGCCAACAUGUGAUCCCUGCUCAAGGGAAGAGAGGUGCUGUGGACUAGACUGGUUGGAUACAUGAUGGAGUUCCACCUCGCAUUUCUUGCAAGGUCGCUCGGUCACUCCAUAUUUGGAGAAAAUCAAAUCAUUGGCUAAUCAUUCCAAACUUCAUGGCUGUCAAGAUCACCAGAUUUGAACCUGUGUGAUUUGUGGUUGCAGGACAGGGUUUAUCAAUGGAAUACUUCAGUAUCGGAUCUUCCACCAGAGAUGCCCUUAUAAUCAAUAAAGGCAAACCCAGUAGACGAAUGGCCAUGAUAACUGUAUUCAAACAUGUAAAGCAUCUUGGUGAUUGGAGGGCAAAAUCACAGGAAGAAUGACUGCAUUUACAUAGUUAAACAAGGCAAAACCAAUGGAAGAAUGGCCACGAUGAUAGUGAAUUCAAACAUGUUGUGCAUCUUACUAAUUGGAGGCAAAAUGAGUUGCGAUACACAUGGCCGUGACAGCUAUAGGCGAACAUGUAGAUCAUUGUACUUAUCACAAGACAGAACUAUGGACAAAUUGUAGUUGUUGUUCAACUGAACAAAGGAAAACCUGUGGACAAAUGGACAUAAUGACUAAAUUCAUACAUUAUCUGAUCUGUUGGACCACAAGACAUAAUUGUGAUGAAUGUGUGAUUAAAAAAAAAGUUACUGAUGUGCCCUUAUCAUCAGUAUGUAAUUGCACAAACGUUUAUGAAGAUUACAUCAAGAAAAGAGCCUGAAGUGAAUGUGCAAAAUGAUAAUGGAAAAAUAUAUGGUCCAGUCACAUUAAGGUGGCCGCUGCCUAUGUUUAGCAUCAAUGUGCAAGAACCACUCAGAUGGCAGGUGGCAGCACUAGCAGAGGAAGAUAGACAAAGCAUGUCAGAGGCACGCGGAAAACAGUGCAGUAUUUUCAUAAUGCGAAAACGGAGCAAUGUAUCUGACAUACAAAGAGGCAUGAUAAAUGACUUUCUGACCAAGGAUGGAAGCAUUUCUGAAACGGCUAAGUUCGUAAACUGUUUGAAAGUCACUGCUGUUAAUGUAUACCAGCACUGUAAGUAUGGUGUUCCACGGGCCUUAGAUGGCAGGGGUGAAUGACAGUUGUAGGGAUGUGUGUGGACAAAUAGGUGUGCAGCUAUUGAGCAACUGACUGGCCAGAUGAACUAAGGCUAGCUAACAUUGCAUUAUCAAUGAAUUUUCAGUGAAUGUUGCUGCAUAUGAACCUCUGUAGCAGGUGUCUCACACAUACUGACCGCUGUUCAUCGGGAUAAAGGCUGGAAUUUGCACUACAGUACCACACCUGGGCAUGCACUGAUUGGUGCCAGGUGGUUUUUUUUUUUCAGAUAGGUCUGAACAGCACAUAACUUGUGAGAAUAAGUAAGGAGGGAGCAUUAUGGUUUGGGUAAUGUUUUCGUUGUAUUUCCAGACUGAUCUCAUCAUUCUGGAAGGCACAGUAGAUCAACACAAGGGUUUAUAUAUCCUUGUGGACAGUGUCCAGCCCUACAUGCAGUUUUUCUUUGGCCACGAUGACGUCUUCCAGCAGGACAUUGCAGCAUGGCACACAGUGUGUACGUGUGUAGUUCUAAGAGCACCAGGAUGAGUUUACAAUACUACUCUGGCCACCAAACUCCUCAUAUUCGGUUGGAUCACCUCGGUUGGGUUGUACACACCAUCGAUCCUCAAUUGAGACUGUAGUGCAGCUGGCCACGGCACUAGAGUCGGCAAGGCUCCACAUCUGUAUCAAUAGCUUCCAGAACCUCAUUGACUGUCUUUCUGCCUGUCUCACAGCAAUCCUCACUACAGAAGGUGCUUAUUUAGACUUUUGACUUGUGGUCACAUUGAUGUAACUGGACUUUGAAUAUUUGACAUUUAUCUAUGGUGGAGGAAAACACAGGGUCGAGAAAAAUAUAUAUUCUUAUAUUUUGUAUACAGUGACACUUCAAUUUACAAACCAUAAUAAAUAUUUCAUUUGUUGGUUUUA
Schistocerca gregaria is the source of this 6159-nucleotide long non-coding RNA. RefSeq lists it as uncharacterized. The transcript is spliced from 6 exons. NCBI's taxonomy places the organism in Eukaryota, Metazoa, Arthropoda, Insecta, Orthoptera, Acrididae. The record is from RefSeq and is a predicted model, not a curated record.